This 131-nucleotide small RNA is filed under the name Peptoniphilus lacrimalis 315-B. RNAcentral's name for it is "Streptococcus sRNA SpR18". It matches the Rfam family "Streptococcus sRNA SpR18". The record is from Rfam by way of RNAcentral. Lineage: Bacteria; Bacillati; Bacillota; Tissierellia; Tissierellales; Peptoniphilaceae.
AUCAACGGAUACAGAAAAUGAAAAACUGUAACUGGGAUUUAAAUGGGAACAUUUGUUAAAAAGAAUAAACUUAAUAAUAGUUCCAAGUGCUCUACAUUUGGACAAAAAAUUAGGCCGUAGUUAAAAGCUGC